UUAGGAAUCCAAGGCAGGCCAACAUAUUGAAAUAAUAGCUACAAAACUCCUAACCUUCUUUGGGGGUCAUACACAGCAUACUAUACUUGGGAAUGGCAUUCUGACACAUUUAUUACAUAAUAAUGCUAUUAUAUGUAAUGCUAUUCUGACACAUUUGUUAGGUAACAUUAAUGGCUUUGAGUGGGACUUAGAACAAGAAAAGGCUCUGAAACAGAUCCAAGAUGUUGUUUGAGCCAUGCAACUAGAAGAUCUCAUAGAACUAAAGUUAUCUAAUUUACAGAAAAGGUUUUACGUGACGUCUAUUGUACAGAUUCAUAUGAAAACCAUAGUUCAAACUCCAAGGUUUAAGAAGUAAGAAAGAUCAUGCCAUUUGCAACAAACAUGCAUGCAUAUUUGAAAAGCAACUGUAAGUAUGCUAUUGGACAUUGGUAAAGAUUGAAUAUCUGACCAUGGCAUAUCAAGAAACCAUGGAAUGAGUACUGCUUAUCAAGAUCUGGGUGUGAGAAGACUUAAAAAGUCAGAUAGUCAGUGAGAACCAGCUAGAAUCCAUGAAAUUGUGACCAAUAAGAAUCCCAGAGAAGUUCUGCCCUAAUGGAGUCAACUUGAUUUGAGAUGCAAAUAGAUUUGCGCAAUUGAAAAAGUGGGAAGAUGAAGUGUUUGGAGGGCUUUUAAAUGGAGUAAAAUGGAAACAAAGACAAGUUAUCCCAACACCAAAAAGAGUAGGGGAUAGAAGGAUAUGUCAAGGUUUGAAAACCAUCCUUCAGAAAUGCAGGAAAGUCAAAGCUAGAAAUCUGUUGUGGGAAAACUAGAAGACCAAAAAAAGCACGAAAGUCAAGAAAGAAGUCUCUUUUCACAUGAAAGUGGCUGUGCUAAUGGUCUAUCAAGAUAUCCUGAGUUUCCAGUAGAGAUGUUUCAGCCAUAACACAGGCCUGGUAGAAAAAGCCUGAAGACAAAUACUGCUAUGAAUGGUUACAUCUAGGACUUCUGAAAUUAGCCCCAGAUUCAACUCAUUUUUUUCUGCAUUUGCUGAGCAAUAUGACAUGUUUACACCGAUUAGCUAAAAAGUUAUGUGAAGAAUGGGCAACAAUAUCUCUAA
Molecule: long non-coding RNA, 1096 nt
Filed under: Homo sapiens (human)
Lineage: Eukaryota; Metazoa; Chordata; Mammalia; Primates; Hominidae
Description: HSALNT0318920
Source: RNAcentral